This 254-nucleotide ribosomal RNA is filed under the name uncultured bacterium. RNAcentral's name for it is "partial 16S ribosomal RNA". It matches the Rfam family "Bacterial small subunit ribosomal RNA", at positions 524 to 776 of the family's 1533-position model. The record is from RNAcentral.
UACGGAGGGUGCGAGCGUUGUCCGGAAUCACUGGGCGUAAAGGGCGCGUAGGCGGCUCGCCAGUCAGGGGUGAAAGCCCACGGCUCAACCGUGGAAGUGCCUUUGAUACUGCGAGUCUCGAGCCAGCUAGGGGCUACCGGGAACAAAUGGUGGAGCGGUGAAAUGACGUAGAUAUCAUUUGGAACGCCAAUGGUGAAAACAGGUAGCUGGGGCUGUGCUGACACUGAGACACGAAAGCCAGGGGAGCGAACGGG